Molecule: ribosomal RNA, 1044 nt
Filed under: uncultured organism
Description: bacterial SSU rRNA
Rfam family: Bacterial small subunit ribosomal RNA
Source: RNAcentral
CGGGAGCUGACGACCGGCGCACGGGUGAGUAACGCGUAUGCAACUUUCCUGUAACUGGAGGAUAGCCCCUGGAAACGGGGAUUAAUACUGCGUAAUACCUAAAUACCGCAUGGUAUUAAGGUCAAAUCUACGGAGGUUACAGAUGGGCAUGCGUGCCAUUAACUAGAUGGUAAGGUAACGGCUUACCAUGGCAAUGAUGGCUAGGGGUUCUGCAAGGAAGGCCCCCCACACUGGUACUGAGACACGGACCAGACUCCUACGGGAGGCAGCAGUGAGGAAUAUUGGUCAAUGGAGGCAACUCUGAACCAGCCAAGCCGCGUGAAGGAAGACUGUCCUAUGGAUUGUAAACUUCUUUUGUGGCAGAAUAAACUACCGUACUUGUACGGUAUUGCAUGUAUGCCAUGAAUAAGCAUCGGCUAACUCCGUGCCAGCAGCCGCGGUAAUACGGAGGAUGCAGGCGUUAUCCGGAUUUAUUAGGUUUAAAGGGUGUUCAGGCUGCCUGGUAAGUCAGGGGUGAAAGUCGGUUGCUCAACGAUCGAAUUGCCUUUGAAACUGUCAGGCUCGAGUAUGGAUGCGGUAGGCGGAAUGUGUAGUGUAGCGGUGAAAUGCAUAGAUCUUACACAGAACACCGAUUGCGAAGGCAGCUUACCAAACCAGCACUGACGCUGAAGCACGAAAGCGUGGGGAGCGAACAGGAUUCGAUACCCUGGUAGUCCACGCCGUAAACUUUGCUCACUCGCUGUAGGCGAUAGACCGUCAGCGGCCAAGGGAAACCGAUAAGUGAGCCACCUGGGGAGUACGGUCGCAAGGUUGAAACUCAAAGGAAUUGACGGGGACCCGCACAAUCGGUGGAACAGGUGGUUUAAUUCGAUGAUACGCGAGGUACCUUACCUGGGCUUAAAUGUGAAGUGCAUUGAUUGGAAACAAUCAUUUCCUUCGGGACCCUUUACAAGGUGCUGCAUGGUUGUCGUCAGCUCGUGCCGUGAGGUGUCGGGUUAAGUCCCAUAACGAGCGCAACCCCUAUUGUUAGUUACCGGCGCGUAA